CUCAGGACGAACGCUGGCGGCGUGCCUAACACAUGCAAGUCAAGGGGCCUUCGGGUCACUGGCGCACGGGUGAGUAACGCGUAGAUAAUCUGCCCUUAUCUCAGGCAUAACUUCGGGAAACCGGAGCUAAUACCUGAUGAGGCUGCAAAGUCAAAGGUUUACCGGAUAAGGAUGAGUCUGCGUCUGAUUAGCUAGUUGGUAAGGUAAAAGCUUACCAAGGCGACGAUCAGUAGCUGGUCUGAGAGGAUGAUCAGCCACACUGGAACUGAGACACGGUCCAGACUCCUACGGGAGGCAGCAGUGAGGAAUUUUGGUCAAUAGGGGAAACCCUGAACCAGCGACGCCGCGUGUACGAUGAAUGGGCUUUGCCCUGUAAAGUACUGUCAGAUGGGAAGAAAAGCCUGCUCAGCAGGCUGGGACUGUACCAUCAGAGGAAGGACCGGCUAACUACGUGCCAGCAGCCGCGGUAAUACGUAGGGUCCUAGCGUUGUCCGGAAUUACUGGGUAUAAAGGGUGCGCAGGCGGGCUUGUGCGUCAGGGGUCAAAUCCCGGGGCUUAACCCCGGACCGGCCUCUGAAACGGCAAGUCUUGAGUAUGAGAGAGGAUAGUAGAAUUCCUGGUGUAGCGGUGAAAUGCGUAGAUAUCAGGAGGAAUACCAGUGGCGAAGGCGGCUAUCUGGCUCAUUACUGACGCUCAGGCACGAAAGCGUGGGGAUCAAACAGGAUUAGAUACCCUGGUAGUCCACGCCCUAAACGAUGUAUGCUUGGUGUUGGCGGUUUGCCGUCAGUGCCGGAGGAAAUCCGUUAAGCAUACCACCUGGGGAGUACGAUCGCAAGGUUGAAACUCAAAGGAAUUGACGGGGGCCCGCACAAGCGGUGGAUUAUGUGGUUUAAUUCGAUGCAACGCGAAGAAUCUUACCCCGGGCUUGAAGUGCCAGUGGACAGUCCCUGAAAGGGGAUCUUUCUUCGGAACCGCUGUAGAGGUGC
This 986-nucleotide ribosomal RNA is filed under the name uncultured organism. Its description in RNAcentral is "bacterial SSU rRNA". It matches the Rfam family "Bacterial small subunit ribosomal RNA", at positions 23 to 1041 of the family's 1533-position model. The record is from RNAcentral.